CCGACUCUAAAGCCCCACUACUACUACUACCUUUCCUCCAUUAACAAAUUAUUACUCCAAUAAAACCCCUCUGCCUCUCUCUCUCACUCUCAGUUUUAACUUAAUUGAUCGAUUUCUCAAAUUAAGAAGAAAAAAAAAUGGUGGAUGUUUGCUGUCUGUGCGGCGACGUGGGCUUCUCCGAUAAGCUUUUCCGGUGCUCCGACUGCGGCCACCGCUUCCAACACUGGUAUUGCAGUAAUUACUACGGAGAAUACGGAGAGAGUAAUCAAGUAUGCGAUUGGUGCCAAUGCGACAAAAGGAGGUCCGUCGGCAAGAAAGGCGGCCGUCCGGCGGGGAAAUCCGCCGGAAAAGGCGCAAUCCGAAGGUACAAGCUUCUCAAAGAUGUAAUGUGCUGAUCAACAAAUCAAGUUACAACUUUGUUUUUGGCUUUAGGUGUUUUGCUCGGCUCGGCCCAUCUUGUGUGCUGGCUAAUUUCAAUAAAUUCAUUUUACGAGUUUCGUUCUUAUUUUUCACUUUUUAUUUUUUUUUUUAAAUUGCAAAUUUGAAGUGUUUACGAUAUUCUGAUCAUGAAUUUCAUAAGGGAAAAUGCCGACGUGUCAAUACUGAUGCUUUUAUUUAUUAAACAAUAUUAAUGUACAGUAAUGUUUGUAUGACAUUUGGAAGAAUGUUUGUCGAGCAACGGCUUCAAUGUAAAACAUAAAUGUUUAUAAUCAAAUAAAUAAUGGAAAUUUUAAUGUUUUUUCGGAAAA
Salvia splendens (bonfire salvia) is the source of this 749-nucleotide long non-coding RNA. RefSeq lists it as uncharacterized. The transcript is spliced from 2 exons. The record is from RefSeq and is a predicted model, not a curated record. Lineage: Eukaryota; Viridiplantae; Streptophyta; Magnoliopsida; Lamiales; Lamiaceae.